This 429-nucleotide ribosomal RNA is filed under the name Pseudomonadota bacterium. RNAcentral's name for it is "Proteobacteria bacterium partial 16S ribosomal RNA". It matches the Rfam family "Bacterial small subunit ribosomal RNA", at positions 355 to 776 of the family's 1533-position model. Lineage: Bacteria; Pseudomonadati; Pseudomonadota. The record is from RNAcentral.
UGGGGAAUAUUGGACAAUGGGCGAAAGCCUGAUCCAGCCAUGCCGCGUGUGUGAAGAAGGUCUUCGGAUUGUAAAGCACUUUAAGUUGGGAGGAAGGGCAGUAAGCGAAUACCUUGCUGUUUUGACGUUACCGACAGAAUAAGCACCGGCUAACUCUGUGCCAGCAGCCGCGGUAAUACAGAGGGUGCAAGCGUUAAUCGGAAUUACUGGGCGUAAAGCGCGCGUAGGUGGUUCGUUAAGUUGAAUGUGAAAGCCCCGGGCUCAACCUGGGAACUGCAUCCAAAACUGGCGAGCUAGAGUAGGGCAGAGGGUGGUGGAAUUUCCUGUGUAGCGGUGAAAUGCGUAGAUAUAGGAAGGAACACCAGUGGCGAAGGCGACCACCUGGGCUCAUACUGACACUGAGGUGCGAAAUCGUGGGGAGCAAACAGG